UACAGAGGGUGCGAGCGUUAAUCGGAAUUACUGGGCGUGAAGGGUGCGUAGGUGGUUUGAAAAGUUAGGUGUGAAAGUCCUGGGCUUAACCUGGGGAUUGCGCCUGAUACUGUUAAGCUAGAGUGCUGUAGGGGGAAGUGGAAUUUCCGGUGUAGCGGUGAAAUUCGUAGAUAUUCGCAAGAACACCAGUGGCGAAGGCGGCUCACUGGCCCGGUACUGACGCUGAGGUGCGAAAGCGUGGGGAGCAAACAGG
Molecule: ribosomal RNA, 253 nt
Filed under: uncultured bacterium
Lineage: Bacteria
Description: partial 16S ribosomal RNA
Rfam family: Bacterial small subunit ribosomal RNA
Source: RNAcentral